RNAcentral lists this ribosomal RNA (253 nucleotides) under uncultured bacterium. RNAcentral describes it as "partial 16S ribosomal RNA". It matches the Rfam family "Bacterial small subunit ribosomal RNA", at positions 524 to 776 of the family's 1533-position model. The record is from RNAcentral.
UACGAAGGGGGCUAGCGUUGCUCGGAAUCACUGGGCGUAAAGCGCACGUAGGCGGACUCUUAAGUCGGUGGUGAAAUCCUGGAGCUCAACUCCAGAACUGCCUUCGAUACUGGGAGUCUUGAGUCCGGGAGAGGUGAGUGGAACUGCGAGUGUAGAGGUGAAAUUCGUAGAUAUUCGCAAGAACACCAGUGGCGAAGGCGGCUCACUGGCCCGGUACUGACGCUGAGGUGCGAAAGCGUGGGGAUCAAACAGG